UACGGAGGGGGCGAGCGUUGUCCGAAGUUACUGGGCGUAAAGCGCGCGUAGGCGGGUUGGCAAGUCCGCUGUGAAAGCCAGGGGCUCAACCCUUGGAUGCCGGUGGAUACUGUCGGGCUUGAGUACGGAAGAGGCGAGUGGAAUUCCUGGUGUAGCGGUGAAAUGCGCAGAUAUCAGGAGGAACACCGGUGGCGAAGGCGGGUCUCUGGGCAAUAACUGACGCUGAGGAGCGAAAGCGUGGGGAGCGAACAGG
Molecule: ribosomal RNA, 253 nt
Filed under: uncultured bacterium
Lineage: Bacteria
Description: partial 16S ribosomal RNA
Rfam family: Bacterial small subunit ribosomal RNA
Source: RNAcentral